Mya arenaria is the source of this 628-nucleotide long non-coding RNA. RefSeq lists it as uncharacterized. NCBI's taxonomy places the organism in Eukaryota, Metazoa, Mollusca, Bivalvia, Myida, Myidae. The record is from RefSeq and is a predicted model, not a curated record. The transcript has 3 exons.
AUCCAUGGAGGUAUAGAUGGGUAUUCAAGAUUACCGGUCUUCUUGAAAGUCAACAACAACAAUCGUGCCGACACUGUUCUACAUGCUUUCGUAGAGGCUGUUCAUGAGUUCGGCUUACCACAAAGGGUCCGUUCAGACAAAGGUGGAGAAAAUGUCAAAGUUGCCGAGUUUAUGCUGCAGCAUCAAGCAGGAGUACCCAGACCUUUUAUUGCUGGAAGAUCUGUUCACAAUCAGAGGAUUGAGCGAUUAUGGAGAGAGAUAUGGAAUGGCUGUACAAGUCUAUACUACUCAUUGUUCUACAACAUGGAAGACGAGGGAAUUUUAGAUGUAUCCAGUGAGCUACACAUUAUGCUGCUACACUGUGUAUUCUUACCAAGAAUACAAUCCAACUUGGAUAGGUUUGCAGAGGCUUUAAGGAGGAGACCACUGAGGACUGAAAAUAGCAACACUCCUCCAAUUGUGGAUUACAGGACCAUGAAAUGAUUUAGCUGUUCAUGAACAGGGAAAUAUGGAUGCUUAUGGCAUUGACUGUAAGCAGGAUCAAGUAUUGGUGCACCCAGAGACAGUUAUGGUUCCUGAAGGCAUGCCUUUUCCUGAAGAAGUCUUACAACAAAUUCAGCAUAUUCUU